CGUAGGGUGCGAGCGUUAAUCGGAAUUACUGGGCGUAAAGCGUGCGCAGGCGGUUUUGUAAGACAGGCGUGAAAUCCCCGGGCUCAACCUGGGAACUGCGCUUGUGACUGCAAGGCUAGAGUACGGCAGAGGGGGGUGGAAUUCCACGUGUAGCAGUGAAAUGCGUAGAGAUGUGGAGGAACACCAAUGGCGAAGGCAGCCCCCUGGGUCGAUACUGACGCUCAUGCACGAAAGCGUGGGUAGCAAACAGGAUUAGAUACCCUGGUAGUCCACGCCCUAAACGAUGUCAACUAGGUGUUGGGUGGGUAAAACCAUUUAGUACCGGAGUUAACGCGUGAAGUUGACCGCCUGGGGAGUACGGCCGCAAGGUUA
Molecule: ribosomal RNA, 372 nt
Filed under: uncultured organism
Description: bacterial SSU rRNA
Rfam family: Bacterial small subunit ribosomal RNA
Source: RNAcentral